This 402-nucleotide ribosomal RNA is filed under the name uncultured Inquilinus sp. RNAcentral describes it as "bacterial SSU rRNA". It matches the Rfam family "Bacterial small subunit ribosomal RNA", at positions 353 to 772 of the family's 1533-position model. The record is from RNAcentral. Lineage: Bacteria; Pseudomonadati; Pseudomonadota; Alphaproteobacteria; Rhodospirillales; Rhodospirillaceae.
AGUGGGGAAUAUUGGACAAUGGGCGCAAGCCUGAUCCAGCCAUGCCGCGUGAGUGAUGAAGGCCUUCGGGUUGUAAAGCUCUUUCACCCACGACGAUGAUGACGGUAGUGGGAGAAGAAGCCCCGGCUAACUUCGUGCCAGCAGCCGCGGUAAUACGAAGGGGGCAAGCGUUGUUCGGAAUGACUGGGCGUAAAGGGCGCGUAGGCGGUUCGUUGCGUCAGAUGUGAAAGCCCCGGGCUCAACCUGGGAACUGCAUUUGAUACGGGCGGGCUUGAAUCCAAGAGAGGGUGGUGGAAUUCCCAGUGUAGAGGUGAAAUUCGUAGAUAUUGGGAAGAACACCAGUGGCGAAGGCGGCCACCUGGCUUGGUAUUGACGCUGAGGCGCGAAAGCGUGGGGAGCAAA